Long non-coding RNA from Branchiostoma floridae (Florida lancelet), 2221 nucleotides. RefSeq lists it as uncharacterized. The record is from RefSeq and is a predicted model, not a curated record. Lineage: Eukaryota; Metazoa; Chordata; Leptocardii; Amphioxiformes; Branchiostomatidae. The transcript has 2 exons.
CGAUUUUAGAUCACUGGCAUUAUUUCCUGCUUUGGUACAUGUGCCUAAUAAUUCAAACAAAAUAGCUGUUCACGGUGAAUUAUUUGUUGGCACACAGCUGAACAAUCUUGACGGCGGAUGGAUAUGUACUGUAUUUCCGUCGCACAGUCACGCAGCUUCAGUUGGAGAAGAAGGGCGGUGGCGAGAGAAGCUCGUGAGAUGAGGCGAACAUCAAUCAACGCAAUGUACUGGCGAAGACCAUAUCAACAGAUGGACACCUCCGUUAGAGAAGUGUCACACUCUAAAGACAACAUUUUGAUCAUAAGAGGAGGUCCCCCCAACAAUAUUGUGAAUAUAUACGAUAAAUAGUUACCAUUGGUGGCAGACCAAAUCGUGACACAUCACUGAUGACAUCGAUGGUUAUUUUUGGGCUUUUGGCAGAACAUCCAACUUACUCAGUGUUUUGUUAGUCAGGUCUCUUGUUACAGCUGUCCAGCCUCUUGGAAACCCAGACUUCGGGGACUGUGCCUCUGGCUCAGUGGGGGCUGGUUCAGCUUAGUUAGAUGGGUGUGUUGGAUGUUUGGACAAUUAAAAUCUCAGUCACUAUACUACAAAAAGUUAAAGAUUACAGCAUUAAAGGUUUUGUCAGUUCACUGCUGUCAUCUGAAUAACAUAAGCGGUUAACAUCCUGUAUCUGGUCCACAGUAUAUAUAUAAUAUAGGUUGGGACCUGGUUGAACUGACUUUCAAUAGUCACGGUGGGUUACAGUCUUUGGCAUGACCUUCUGUACGUCAUUGCUGAAGUUGCUUUAGGUUGGUGAAGGACUUCGUGUUCAAGUUUGACAAUAGCAUUGACUUUGAUUUUUAUUGUUUAAUAUAUGUAUGAGAAUGGUACGCAAUUACUCCACCUUGAAUUUGUGGCGUUUCGACCUGCAUGUCUCGAGGCGGUCGAGCCUGUGUGUCUAGAGACGUUUCGGCCUACAUGUCUAGAGGCGGUCGAGCCUGUGUGUCUAGAGGCGUUUCGGCCUACAUGUCUAGAGGCGGUGGAGGCUGCGUGUCUAGAGGCGGUGGAGCCUGCAUGUCUGGAGGCGGUCGAGCCUGCAUGUCUCGAGGUCUCACUUGGCAAUUCGCAAUAGUGACCUGACCUUUCAACGCAGACCAGUUCAAGUUUUUUCCUAAAUGGAUUGUGUCCGACAGAAAGGUUGCGAUAUUAUAUACUGAGUGCCGAUUCUGCUUGUAAUACAACAUAACGGAACAGAAAUACACGUGUUAUUUCUUGUGCUACGUGUAGAUUUCCCCCGAUGUGUGAACCUUAUGUUCACACAUAACUUGAGCGGUACGUCGCCGUGGGUACUGAGCAUGCGGCCUGGCACGUUUCUUGUGGUCUGGACUGACUGCAAUUAGAUGAUAGUACAGCAGUGAUUGUAGCUGCUUGGAUUUGUUGGCGAUUCCUCAUGUCAUUCUUCCCACAUUAUUCAAUGCAGUAUGGAUUUUCUCGAUGCCGUGCUUGCCUUGAAAACCUAUGUAAGCAAAACACAAUGUCCUGAUCCACUCUACUACGUGAUCCUCAAGCACGCGCACUCGCCAUUUUAAGCUCUGUCGUGUAGCGUCACAAUAGCGUGUGGCUGAGAAUCUGACUGAGUUUUUUUGGUUCUGAGCGAUGCUCUUCUUGUACGUGGAAGGCAGCGGCUUUCCAAGAAGGACUUGGGGGCUAAGUCGUUGCUUGAAGAAAGUUUUGCGCUGUCCACGCGAAACAUGAACAGCACGGUCUUCGCCUGUUACAUACCACUUUAUUCGGACAAGCUUCUCUUCUCCUUCAACUUCCAUUUGCAGUCCAUUCUGCUGAAGCUCUGUCAUCUCCUCAAAGACUCUUGCUCCAGCCUUGACCUGCUCUUCAUAAUCUUCUUUUCAAAUAUUGGGUGAGCAAUGUCCUUAGUGGCUUAGUCUAAUAUACAGUAUCAAGAAUGGCAACAGCUAUGUUCACACAAGAAGAAGAAUUUAUACAGCUCUAUCAGUACCAGACUUCACCACAAAGGUGUGAUGAACAUGUCAUAAAGUGGAACCUUAAAUAGUGACAAUAUGUUGCUUAUACUUGAAGUAAGGUCUGAUGUUUACAUUGAUGCUAUUCUUUUCAUUUGUCGUAUUAGAUCAAGUAUACCUUGGCAAUAACAUAUAUAUUUGGAGCAUUGUCUUCUUCACAUUUAAUUCUGCUCUUUGUAUUUUGAAUAAAAAAUUACAAGGCA